GUUUUUUAUGGCUCGAGCUAAAAUUACGGAUAAGUUCACUGCGCAGAGAUAAACCGGGACGUCAAUUCUUUCUUCACCUCUAGAGUUUACGCGAUUGUCGAAAUGCUUUUAUAUUCAUGAACCUGCAUGUUGAGUGGAACUUGAGCCUACUCGUAGAAAUGGUCAAUCGGCGUUUCAAAAGAUGGAGGAGCGUCAUUGCCUGCAAGAUAACGUAGUAGGUUAGCUCGACAUGGCUCGUUUAUCGGUGAUGUAAAAGACGUUAAUACUGCUACUGCUGCUGUUAUUGUUGUUGAGGGGCGCCGAAUUUACUGAGUCUUCUAGCAGUAUUGAGCGUGAGCGCCCCUCUGGCGAGGGGCGCUGGGCCGAACAGUGUUGCGCUAGCUGGUGUGCCUCCUAGCCCCUUCAGCAACUGUCAUCAGCUAAAUGGAGUGGGAAAACGAAGCUAAUCACCUGUUGCUCCGACUGCGAGAAGCUAAGUUGGCCGAAAAUAUAUCAGGCAGUGAGAAAGAAGACAGAACGUACACGAAAAAGACACCAGAGGGGUCAUACUCGAUUUUGUUAGGAUUUGUUGCUAAAUGACUUAGAUAAUAUCCAGCACUUCAGGACUAUUACCUUUGUAUGUGCUGCGUUGUACGGUUUGUGCGGGUCUCUCUUGUUUGCGAAUAUAAUGGUAAAGAGCAACGUCGUUAGCCAUUUGCUUUAGCGGCUUUAGAGGCUAAAAUACGCUCGGUAUCGUUGCUAUGGUCCUUAUCGAAAAUAAAGAUGAAGAUCCCAAGGUGAUUUCCCAGUUAGUACCGACGUUGAAAAUGUGGGCUCCAGCGAUUCUCUGGAUAUUGCAAAGUAGAUUACUCUUUUUCUGCUUUGUACUUGACGCCUUCUACGUCCGUGCAGCGGCAAUCGAUUCCGUGACCGAUAUCAGCAAUCUAUGAAACUUGAUGGACGCUUGAGAGAAUCCUCGCUAACGCAUCGGCUGCUUUACCUGCUUCAGCUAUAGCUUAUUUUCAUGUAAAUUACCAUUAAAUGACUAAUCCGAGUACUUCCAUUUA
Long non-coding RNA from Varroa destructor (honeybee mite), 1046 nucleotides. RefSeq lists it as uncharacterized. The record is from RefSeq and is a predicted model, not a curated record. NCBI's taxonomy places the organism in Eukaryota, Metazoa, Arthropoda, Arachnida, Mesostigmata, Varroidae.